GUCAUCAUCAACGGAAUAAUCAUCACUGCCGCUAUUGCGUCUCGCUUCUACCACAAGGGAUCCGAGCAGUCUAUGGAAUGUGAGAAUUUAAUUUUAGUUAAAACGCCUCCACCCAAUUUGCCUCAAUACCAACUCCGAUUGAGAUUAGCACUGUUAUGGAGGAACAUCUGGCGACAGUGGAGUCGGCUUUGGUUUAUGAGAGUGAAAAUGCGCAGCCUUUGAGGUGAAGCACGUGGUGGUGAACGAUUCUGAGGUUAUGGAAAACAACGACGUUGCAGAAGAUGAAGACAAAGACGAGUUUAUUGUCUCCAAUUUGAGGUGGUGGUGCCGGAG
This 333-nucleotide long non-coding RNA is filed under the name Olea europaea subsp. europaea. The record is from RNAcentral. Lineage: Eukaryota; Viridiplantae; Streptophyta; Magnoliopsida; Lamiales; Oleaceae.